UACGUAGGGGGCAAGCGUUGUCCGGAAUCAUUGGGCGUAAAGAGCGUGUAGGCGGUCCGGUCAGUCGGUUGUGAAAGUCAAGGGCUCAACCCUUGAAUGCCGGCCGAUACUGCCGGGCUAGAGGGUGGUAGAGGCGAGUGGAAUUCCCGGUGUAGCGGUGAAAUGCGCAGAUAUCGGGAGGAACACCAGUAGCGAAGGCGGCUCGCUGGGCCAUUCCUGACGCUGAGACGCGAAAGCUAGGGGAGCGAACAGG
This 253-nucleotide ribosomal RNA is filed under the name uncultured bacterium. RNAcentral's name for it is "partial 16S ribosomal RNA". It matches the Rfam family "Bacterial small subunit ribosomal RNA", at positions 524 to 776 of the family's 1533-position model. The record is from RNAcentral.